This 433-nucleotide unclassified non-coding RNA is filed under the name soil metagenome. Its description in RNAcentral is "partial contains 5.8S ribosomal RNA, internal transcribed spacer 2, and large subunit ribosomal RNA". The stretch from base 1 to 120 matches the Rfam family "5.8S ribosomal RNA", at positions 35 to 154 of the family's 154-position model. The record is from RNAcentral.
GAUGAAGAAGGUAGCGAAAUGCGAUACGUAAUGUGAAUUGCAGAAUUCAGUGAAUCAUCGAAUCUUUGAACGCAUAUUGCGCUCUCUGGUAUUCCGGAGAGCAUGCUUGUUUGAGUAUCAGUAAACACCUCAACUUCCAUAUCUUUUUUUGAAAUGGGAGUUGGACUUGAGUGAUCCCAACGCUUUUCCUCACCGAAAAGUGGCGGGUUACUUGAAAUGCAGGUGCAGCUGGACUUUUCUCUGAGCUAUAAGCAUAUCUAUUUAGUCUGCCUAAAAAACAGAUUAUUACCUUUGCUGCAGCUAACAUAAAGGAGAUUAGUUCUUGUGCUGACUGAUGCAGGAUUCACAAAGACAGCUUCGGCCGACUUUGUAAACUCGAUCUCAAAUCAAGUAAGACUACCCGCUGAACUUAAGCAUAUCAAUAAGCGGAGGA